AGGUCUUAGUGAUCCGGUGGUUCUGAAUGGAAGGGCCAUCGCUCAACGGAUAAAAGGUACUCCGGGGAUAACAGGCUGAUACCGCCCAAGAGUUCAUAUCGACGGCGGUGUUUGGCACCUCGAUGUCGGCUCAUCACAUCCUGGGGCUGAAGUAGGUCCCAAGGGUAUGGCUGUUCGCCAUUUAAAGUGGUACGCGAGCUGGGUUUAGAACGUCGUGAGACAGUUCGGUCCCUAUCUGCCGUGGGCGUUGGAAGAUUGAGAGGGGCUGCUCCUAGUACGAGAGGACCGGAGUGGACGAAUCACUGGUGUUCGGGUUGUCAUGCCAAUGGCAUUGCCCGGUAGCUAAAUUCGGAAGAGAUAACCGCUGAAAGCAUCUAAGCGGGAAACUUGCCUCGAGAUGAGUCUUCCCUGGGACUUAAAGUCCCCUGAAGGAACGUUAAAGACUAUGACGUUGAUAGGCUGGGUGUGUAAGUGCAGCGAUGUAUUGAGCUAACCAGUACUAAUGAUCCGUGAGGCUUAACCUUACAACACCGAAGGUGUUU
RNAcentral lists this ribosomal RNA (542 nucleotides) under Yersinia pestis. Its description in RNAcentral is "partial 23S ribosomal RNA". It matches the Rfam family "Bacterial large subunit ribosomal RNA", at positions 2407 to 2925 of the family's 2925-position model. The record is from RNAcentral. Lineage: Bacteria; Pseudomonadati; Pseudomonadota; Gammaproteobacteria; Enterobacterales; Yersiniaceae.